This 72-nucleotide transfer RNA is filed under the name Tringa tobata (red-necked phalarope). Its description in RNAcentral is "Phalaropus lobatus (red-necked phalarope) tRNA-Phe". It matches the Rfam family "tRNA". Rfam says of the family: Transfer RNA (tRNA) molecules are approximately 80 nucleotides in length. Their secondary structure includes four short double-helical elements and three loops (D, anti-codon, and T loops). The record is from RNAcentral. Lineage: Eukaryota; Metazoa; Chordata; Aves; Charadriiformes; Scolopacidae.
GUCCCUGUAGCUUAAUCACCAAAGCAUGGCACUGAAGAUGCCAAGAUGGCUGUUACAUGCACCCAGAGACAA